UUAAAAAAUAGAGAUUUUACGUGGAAAAUACUUGGCUCAAAGGUGAAAAAACCACGACCUAUUUUCCAGUAGGUUUUUUCCAAACUCUCCACUAAAAUCACUGAGCCAAAAACGACAUUUACAAAACUCUUUUGUAAACCUAGGAUUAACUUUAAUCCCGUUGUAGCACACGCCUAUUGCGACAACUUCAAGUUAACUCUAACUUGAAAACUCAGAGUACCUAAUACAAUUGUUUCUAGAUAAGCUGAAAGGUACAAUAUGAACGCACCUACUACAAUUGAACUAGAAAUAAAAGACAGACACUUGGAACUGAUUCAGGUAGCUUUAGGUUUGCACGCUUGAAUCACACACAAAUUGCUUGCAAAAUUCCUUGCUAUUUGCUCUCAAUUCACAUUUAACUUCUGCUUAUGUGUGUUACCUGUAAAAGAGAACAACACUGAUAUUUGUGGAGUUAGUAAAUAGAGAUUGACUAGAUUUCUGAUGCUACUCUUCCUUGGCGGAAGAGUUCUAGUUGAUCUCAACCUCUAACUCUAUCCUUCUCUUAAGUCGUGUUCUCUUUGAGUAAGGAUUCUUUCUCCUUAUCCAAUAUGCAACAUUUUUUUUCAGGACCGGGUGAUAUCAUUUCUGGUAAGUUAGGUUUAUCUCCUUCACUUGCAUUUCACAUGCUUGAGUUGACCAUAUCUGUGCUUCACUAGGAUGGACCUGAUCCAUAUCUGAGUUCCUUUGUCAGUCUUCAAAACUCACCUUUACUUGGGCCAACACUCUCUCACUUAAAAUAUCUCUUUGUGUUUCUCACGUAUUUAUCACUAUCAAUUUUCCCACAAUUUCUCUAAGUAAAAGAUACUCCAUGAUUUCAUAACGUAUAUCCCAUUUCUGCGUGAUUUCUCCAUUAUGUAUCAAUAUAAUAUAUCUAUGUAGGGGCCUAUUUUCAUAGAAAACAUAUUGCUCCGAAAAUCAUGGAUGUGGUAAUAGAGAUAUUGUUUGUAUUGAAGAAAUUUCAUAAUCAUCUUUUGAAAGAACCAAGCUGUUCUCAAUCCGCCAUCAUCCUCAUUCUAAUUUGCAACAGUAAAACUUUAGUGUUUGACGAUGAUGAUGAUGAUUUCUGUUUGGAUUAGAUAUAGAAAAAGAGUCAAGUUCUAGCUAUUAAUAGAGAUGGAGUAGAUGCUUCUAAAGGUUCCUCAAAGGUAUUUCGUAGUAAUGCCCAUAAUAUACAGUAUACUCCCAGCAUAUAUAUGCUAAAACUACCACAUAUCCACCACAUAUCGCAUACCAUCUUCCAAUACUGUAUAUAACGGCUUCACCUGUAAUACGUUAAAAUUAUGGUUGUACAAUAUAUAUACCGGCUAUUACCUAUUUUUGGGGAAUAUGAAGCGUUUGUUAUGAGGUAGUAUUGUAGUGGUAACCUAAUAAGUUUAUAUUGAUAAUUAAUAUUAACAAAUUAGAGAAUAUUUAGGGCCUAAAUCUACGCUUACCGUACACUGAAAAGUAAAGUACGUUACUUAAGGGGAGGUACGUUCCUCUAAGGAUCUAAUGACAUUCCCGGUAAAUAGGGGAAGUUACCUUAUUUUUAGAGGAAUUUACAUAGAAUACAACUCUUUAAAACUUAUUUAUAUUUUCUACAACUGCUUUAAUAAAAUUACUUUUAGUACAACUUUUUUUUUAAAUCAUACCUUUUUAAUUCCUAAAAUGCCUCGGUGAUAUUCUCUUAGAUGUUUUAUACUUCAAUACCACACAAGAGGGGGGUGAUUUGUGUUGUGUUCAAUUUUUUGCUUAACCUGAUUAUAGAAGGGCUUGGUUCUUCUAUGUGUUCCAACUACUGCUGUUACAGAAUAAUGAGUACAAAAAUUAAAGAACGCGGAGAUUUUACGAAGAAAAUACCUGGCUCAAAAGGUGAAAAACCCACGACCUACUUUCCAGUAGGAUUUUCCCAAACUCUCCACUAAAAUCACUUAGCCAAAAAACUGCAUUUACAAAACUCUUUUGUAACAUAGGAUUAACUUUAAUCCCGUUGUAGCACACAACCUCAACUAUUGCGUCAACGUCAAGUUAACUCUAACUUUAAAACUCUGAGUACCUAAUACAAUUGCUUCUAGAUAAGCUGAAAGGUACAAUAUGAAAACACCUACUACAAUUGAACUAGAAAUAAAAGACAG
RNAcentral lists this long non-coding RNA (2153 nucleotides) under Nicotiana tabacum (common tobacco). RNAcentral describes it as "long non-coding RNA (NTAB_LNC007897)". The record is from RNAcentral. Lineage: Eukaryota; Viridiplantae; Streptophyta; Magnoliopsida; Solanales; Solanaceae.